AGACUUCAGAGAAGGGUUGAGCCUAACUUGCUGAGAUGGCAUGUCCUGCGAAGAUAUACACAUGCAGCCAUAUGAGGAUGAUGAUGUUGAAUUGGCUUGCUUAGCUUAUGUUAUCAGGACCACAUCUUCUACAAUACCGUUUCAUCAUAUAUCUGCCAAGCAAAAAGUGACACCAUCAGACAACCAAGGGAGAUGUGCAAUUUUCAUGCAGAUGUAAGGUAUAAAUUUAUCUUGUACUUCCUCCGUCUCAAAAUUCUUGUCUUAUGUUUGUCUAGAAAUGAAUGUAUCUAAAUACUGAAACUUGACUGGAUACAUUCAGUUUUAGGCAAAUUUAAGACAAGAAUUUUAGGACCGUCUGGCAAUUUACAUGCAGAUGUAAGCUAAAAAUUUUAUCUUGUAAGAUUGUUUAGAUCAUUACUUUAAUGUUCUAAACGCUCAUAUAUUUCUUUUGAGGGAGUAUAUAACAGUCUGGUACCAUAUGAUAAUUAACUAAUUUACAACAUAGAUGUAAAAAUCAUUUGUUGCUGCUUCUCAUAAAACAUAGGGCUUCAAACUUCCAAAUAGAUAAUCAGAUGCAUAUCUCUACUGUUUUUCUUUCACACAACAUGCAACACAUUUUUUGUGAUUUUAGUUGCUCGACUGGGCAGCAAUGGAGGACCUAACCGUGCCAUCUAAAAUGUACAAUCCGGACGCACCGCCGAAGAUGAACAGAACUGGCGCCACCGACAACCAAGAGCUAACGCUGCCGCCGCCGGAGACCAAAAAAUCACGCGUCAGCCGCCUACUACGAAGAAUGGGUGUACUUGCCAUUUCUUUUGGCGGGCAAAUGACCUUUAUGUACAGGCAAGAGUUCAGGUUGUUGCUGGCCAUAGGUAGUACGAAAAUGUACAGUAGCAUGCUUUAUAAUUUUCUUGUAUUAGACAAUGUAUUGUUCCCUGCAGUAUUGAGUUCUUAGUGAUGGAGUGAUAUCAACAGACUAAGAUAUGUGGUGAUUUUAUCUAUCUGCACUGCAGCUAUCAAUAGAUUUAUGUUUUUUGUCUUGCUCUAAGAAGAUGCAUGAUACUAUGGUAUUUUCCUAAACGAGGUACAUUUGCUAAUUCUUCCAUAAGAUAUUUUCUAAGUGGUACUGUCAGUGUCAGCAUUCAUGACUUGAUUUGGCACAUUGUACAUGUAAAUUAUAAUCUCGAUAGUUCUUGAAAUUUCAAGAAGGGGUGAUGGAUGUUGUGGUAUUGUGCUGUAAGGAUGUGGUGUAGAAGGAUUCAGGCUUCAUGAAUUAAAUAUGCAUUAGAUUGGCAAUAAAGAGGCAAAAGUUGUGUCUAUUUUUUAUACGACUUGUACUUCCGAGAGCAUUUUCAGUCGUUAAGCCCCCCAAGGGCGUAAAAUAGCGCCGUCUGGGGACACGCCGUUGGG
This 1410-nucleotide long non-coding RNA is filed under the name Hordeum vulgare. Its description in RNAcentral is "long non-coding RNA (HVUL_LNC007588)". Lineage: Eukaryota; Viridiplantae; Streptophyta; Magnoliopsida; Poales; Poaceae. The record is from RNAcentral.